This 825-nucleotide ribosomal RNA is filed under the name uncultured Staphylococcus sp. RNAcentral's name for it is "bacterial SSU rRNA". It matches the Rfam family "Bacterial small subunit ribosomal RNA", at positions 86 to 897 of the family's 1533-position model. Lineage: Bacteria; Bacillati; Bacillota; Bacilli; Caryophanales; Staphylococcaceae. The record is from RNAcentral.
CCGACGUUAGCGGCGGACGGGUGAGUAACACGUGGGUAACCUACCUAUAAGACUGGAAUAACUCCGGGAAACCGGGGCUAAUGCCGGAUAACAUGUUGGACCGCAUGGUCCUACAGUGAAAGACGGUCUUGCUGUCACUUAUAGAUGGGCCCGCGCCGUAUUAGCUAGUUGGUAAGGUAACGGCUUACCAAGGCAACGAUACGUAGCCGACCUGAGAGGGUGAUUGGCCACACUGGAACUGAGACACGGUCCAGACUCCUACGGGAGGCAGCAGUAGGGAAUCUUCCGCAAUGGGCGAAAGCCUGACGGAGCAACGCCGCGUGAGUGAUGAAGGCCUUCGGGUCGUAAAACUCUGUUAUUAGGGAAGAACAAAUGUGUAAGUAACUAUGCACGUCUUGACGGUACCUAAUCAGAAAGCCACGGCUAACUACGUGCCAGCAGCCGCGGUAAUACGUAGGUGGCAAGCGUUAUCCGGAAUUAUUGGGCGUAAAGCGCGCGUAGGCGGUUUCUUAAGUCUGAUGUGAAAGCCCACGGCUCAACCGUGGAGGGUCAUUGGAAACUGAGAAACUUGAGUGCAGGAGAGGAAAGUGGAAUUCCAUGUGUAGCGGUGAAAUGCGCAGAGAUAUGGAGGAACACCAGUGGCGAAGGCGACUUUCUGGUCUGCAACUGACGCUGAUGUGCGAAAGCGUGGGGAUCAAACAGGAUUAGAUACCCUGGUAGUCCACGCCGUAAACGAUGAGUGCUAAGUGUUAGGGGGUUUCCGCCCCUUAGUGCUGCAGCUAACGCAUUAAGCACUCCGCCUGGGGAGUACGACCGCAAGGUUGU